AGCGAACGCUGGCGGCAUGCCUAACACAUGCAAGUCGCACGGGGGGGCUUCGGCCUCCCAGUGGCGGACGGGUGAGGAACGCGUAGGGACCUGUCGAGGGGUGGGGGAUAACCGCGGGAAACUGCGGCUAAUACCGCAUGACGCCGCGGCGUGACAGCCGGGGCCAAAGGCGAAAGCCGCCCGCCGAGGGGCCUGCGUCCGAUUAGCUGGUUGGCGGGGUAGCGGCCCACCAAGGCGUCGAUCGGUAGCUGGUCUGAGAGGGUGAUCAGCCACACCGGGACUGAGACACGGCCCGGAAUCCUACGGGAGGCAGCAGUGGGGAAUAUUGGACAAUGGGCGCAAGCCUGAUCCAGCAAUGCCGCGUGGGUGAAGAAGGUCUUCGGAUUGUAAAGCCCUUUCGGCGGGGACGAUGGUGACGGUACCCGCAGAAGAAGCCCCGGCUAACUUCGUG
RNAcentral lists this ribosomal RNA (451 nucleotides) under uncultured bacterium. RNAcentral describes it as "partial 16S ribosomal RNA". It matches the Rfam family "Bacterial small subunit ribosomal RNA", at positions 28 to 507 of the family's 1533-position model. The record is from RNAcentral.